UUGUCGUUUAUGGAUUCUUCAUGAAAUUCGGGUUUGUUGGCUUGGAUGGACCAAGUGUCGGUUUCACUGGAAAAACUCUGAUGGUGUCUGAUGAAUGGCACAGAGGAUUGGCCAUAGAUGUGCCUUGCUGCUUUUCAAAAAGGCAUUGGAGUCUGAAAGCCCCACACCUUCCACUACCUAAUUAAAGCUGAGGCAGUUGUGGCCUGAAUUUUUUUUGUGUGUGUGUGUUUUGUGUGUGUGUGUGUUUGUUUCUGGCUGUUGACCGGGGGUGGUCACUGAUUGCCAUGAUAACAAUAGCUGGUAAGUAAACAUCAACUAAAUUGUCUGGAAAAAAACCUUUACUUAAACAUAGAAGCAUACAUUUUGUAGGAGUGUUAAUUGAUUCAUCGUGAUGCGGACGUGGAUGAUUCUGCAUCAAUGCAGUAAUAGACCAUAAUCAAUUAUUGCCUACGACAGCGCUUCCACUCGCUGUUAUUUUAGUCUAUUUUAGUCUGUUAUUUUACUUUAGAUAUGCCUUCAUUUCUGCUGUUUAGAAUGCAGUACGUAUUCGAUGCACAAAACUCACGCACUGACAGACAUUCACAUGUGCUUUGUGUUUGUUUGUCCUGAAGCUCGCGGCUGUAGUUAAAUGCACUUGCAUCUACUUUUAUGAUACAAAAUUAAUGUAAACGGUCAGUUAUGUUUUCAGAACAGGACAAAGCAUCUGAUAUGUGGAAAUGGAUCUGUGCAUUAGUGUGAAUGCAGGCAAUAAUGCUGAUUAAAAAGAAAAGCCCAUAACUAUGAUUAUCUGUAAACUUUCAAUACUUAAAGCACUCCCAGAUACUGAAAGUGAUUUUUGUUUAUCACUUGUAGUUGUCUU
Cyprinus carpio (common carp) is the source of this 859-nucleotide long non-coding RNA. RefSeq lists it as uncharacterized. The record is from RefSeq and is a predicted model, not a curated record. NCBI's taxonomy places the organism in Eukaryota, Metazoa, Chordata, Actinopteri, Cypriniformes, Cyprinidae.